UGGCGGACGGGUGAGUAACGCGUGGGUAACCUGCCUCACACUGGGGGACAACAGUUAGAAAUAGCUGCUAAUACCGCAUAAGCGCACGGUUCCGCAUGGAACAGUGUGAAAAACUCCGGUGGUGUGAGAUGGACCCGCGUCUGAUUAGCCAGUUGGCGGGGUAACGGCCCACCAAAGCGACGAUCAGUAGCCGGCCUGAGAGGGUGAACGGCCACAUUGGGACUGAGACACGGCCCAA
Molecule: ribosomal RNA, 238 nt
Filed under: uncultured bacterium
Lineage: Bacteria
Description: partial 16S ribosomal RNA
Rfam family: Bacterial small subunit ribosomal RNA
Source: RNAcentral